GUGUCCGAGUCCCCUCAUCCCCGCCUCACGAGUGGAAGCGCACGCACCAUGGGCGGUUGCCGGAUUACGAGGAGCGGAAGCACGAGCGCGAGGCGUGCCAGAUGCACAAGCGCUCGCAGCAGGCCCGGGAGCUGCUCGGUGCUAAGGGCAAGAGGUUUGCCAAGAAGCGGUAUGCUGAAAAGGCGCAGAUAAAGAACAUGUAAGUGAUUCUCCUCGGUGAAGGCAUCUACGCCUAUGAGUCCUUCUCUAGGACCUGGCAGUGGUGCGUCGCCAGCGGGAUCAGCACCGUCGUACAUGUGGUGUCCUCCUCUGGGGUCGAGCAGUGUUAAAAUGUUCAAAAUAACAUGAAAUUGAUUUGUUCUUGAGUUGAUUUAUUCAUAUGGAUUAGAUAAGAAGAUUUGAGGCUGAGAUAGAGUUGAUUUGAGCCUAAGAUGUGUACUAAAAUAUUUAAAAUAAUAUGAAGUUGAUUUGUUCUUG
Long non-coding RNA from Phragmites australis (common reed), 477 nucleotides. RefSeq lists it as uncharacterized. Lineage: Eukaryota; Viridiplantae; Streptophyta; Magnoliopsida; Poales; Poaceae. The record is from RefSeq and is a predicted model, not a curated record. The transcript is spliced from 2 exons.